RNAcentral lists this ribosomal RNA (1422 nucleotides) under uncultured bacterium. RNAcentral's name for it is "16S ribosomal RNA". It matches the Rfam family "Bacterial small subunit ribosomal RNA". The record is from RNAcentral.
GAUGAACGCUGGCGGUGUGCCUAAGAUAUGCAAGUCGAACGGCCCUCCGACUCGGAGGGUAAGUGGCGGACGGCUGAGUAACACGUCCGAACUUGCCCCUUUCUGGGGAAUACCUUGCCGAAAGGCAAGCUAAUACCCCAUAGUCCCUAAACUGAUUUUUGAUCUAGUUUUGGGUAAAGGCCGUAACUGGUCGGAAAGGGAGAGGCGGGCGGACCAUCAGGUAGUUGGUAGGGUAAUGGCCUACCAAGCCGAUGACGGUUAGCCGGUCUUACGAGGAUGAUCGGCCAGAGGGGCACUGAGACACGGGCCCCACGUCUACGGACGGCAGCAAUUAGGAAUCGUUGGCAAUGGGCGAAAGCCUGACCACGCGACACCGCGUGCGGGAAGAAGCUCUUCGGAGCGUAAACCGCUGUGGCAGAGGAAGAAGCCCUCCGAAUCGGAGGGUUGACGGUACUCUGCUAGAAAGGGGUCGCUAACUGCGUGCCAGCAGCGGCGGUAAUACGUGGACCCCAAGCGUUAUCCGGUGUUACUGGGCGUAAAGUGUGUGUAGGCGGCUUAUUGGGUUGCCUCUGAAAUUUCUUUGCUUAACAAAGAAACUGGAGGCAAUACCGAUAAGCUAGAACUUUCUUCAAGGAAACUGGAAUUGGUGGAGGAGCAGUGAAAUGCGUUGAUACCACCAAGAACACCAGAGGCGAAGGCGAGUUUCUAGAAGAAAGUUGACGCUGAGACACGAAAGCUAGGGGAGCGAACCGGAUUAGAGACCCGGGUAGUCCUAGCCGUAAACGAUGCUUGCUAACUAUUCUUUUAAGUUGCUUAAUUUUUAAGCAACUUAAGGGGAUGGUAAAGUUAACACGUUAAGCAAGCCGCCUGGGGAGUACGGCCGCAAGGCUGAAACUCAAAGGAAUUGGCGGGGAGACACACAACUAGUGGAGCAUGUGGUUUAAUUCGAGACGAACCGAAGCACCUCACCAGGGUUUGACAUGGUAGGUAUUUAGGGCUGCGAAAGCAGACACCGAUUUCCGCCUUUGGCGGAAAACCUACCACAGCUGCUGCAUGGCUGUCGUCAGUUCGUUCUGUGAAGAGUGCCCUUAAGUGGGACAACGAACGCAACCCCCAUCCUCUGUUAAAUCUAUCAGAGGAGACUGCCCUCUGAUUCGGAGGGAGGAAGGAGGGGCAGACGUCAAGUCAGCACGGCGCUUAUGCCCUGGGCGACACACAUGCUACAAUGAGCUGGACAAAGGGUAGCGAACUCGUAAGAGGAAGCCAAUCCCAAAAACCAGCUCUCAGUGGGGAUUGAGGUCUGAAACUCGACCUCAUGAACGCGGAAUUAGUAGUAAUCGCGGAUCAGCCAUGCCGCGGUGAAUACGUUCUUGUCUCUUGCACACACUGCCCGUCAAGCCAACAAAGUCGGCCUUAUCUGAA